CAAUAGCGUAUAUUAAAGUUGUUGCAGUUAAAAAGCUCGUAGUUGAAUUUUUGCUUGCCGCCGAUGUCGGAACUUCCGUACGUUCGGCGGCGUGCAUCCUUGGGUGGAACCUGUGUGACAUUAGGUUGUCGUGCAGGGGAUGCUCAUCGUUUACUGUGAAAAAAUUAGAGUGUUCAAAGCAGGCUUACGCCGUUGAAUAUAUUAGCAUGGAAUAAUAAGAUAGGACCUUGGUACUAUUUUGUUGGUUUGCGCACCGAGGUAAUGAUUAACAGGGACAGUUGGGGGUAUUCGUAUUCCAUUGUCAGAGGUGAAAUUCUUGGAUUUCUGGAAGACGAACUACUGCGAAAGCAUUUACCAAGGAUGUUUUCAUUAA
This 373-nucleotide ribosomal RNA is filed under the name uncultured eukaryote. Its description in RNAcentral is "partial 18S ribosomal RNA". It matches the Rfam family "Eukaryotic small subunit ribosomal RNA", at positions 592 to 976 of the family's 1831-position model. The record is from RNAcentral.